CCUACGGGAGGCAGCAGUGAGGAAUUUUCCGCAAUGGGCGAAAGCCUGACGGAGCAAUACCGCGUGAGGGAUGAAGGAUUUUGGUCUGUAAACCUCUUUUCUCAAGAAAGAAGUUCUGACGGUACUUGAGGAAUAAGCAUCGGCUAACUCCGUGCCAGCAGCCGCGGUAAUACGGGGGAUGCAAGCGUUAUCCGGAAUGAUUGGGCGUAAAGCGCCUGUAGGUUGUUUAUAAAGUCCGUUGUUAAAGCCUAGGGCUUAACCCUAGAAAAGCAAUGGAAACUAGUAGACUAGAGUAUGGCAGGGGUAGAGGGAAUUUCUAGUGUAGCGGUGAAAUGCGUAGAUAUUAGAAAGAACACCGGUGGCGAAAGCGCUCUACUGGACCAUUACUGACACUCAGAGGCGAAAGCUAGGGUAGCAAAAGGGAUUAGAUACCCCUGUAGUCCUAGCCGUAAACGAUGGAUACUAGAUGUUGUGCAUUAUGUACAGUAUCGUAGCUAACGCGUUAAGUAUCCCGCCUGGGGAGUACGCUCGCAAGGGUGAAACUCAAAGGAAUUGACGGCUGAGANGCGACGCGACACGAGGAGUAG
Molecule: ribosomal RNA, 587 nt
Filed under: uncultured bacterium
Lineage: Bacteria
Description: bacterial SSU rRNA
Rfam family: Bacterial small subunit ribosomal RNA
Source: RNAcentral